Molecule: ribosomal RNA, 459 nt
Filed under: uncultured bacterium
Lineage: Bacteria
Description: bacterial SSU rRNA
Rfam family: Bacterial small subunit ribosomal RNA
Source: RNAcentral
AUUGAACGCUGGCGGCAGGCCUAACACAUGCAAGUCGAACGGUAGCACAGAGGGCUUGCUCUCGGGUGACGAGUGGCGGACGGGUGAGUAAUGUCUGGGAAACUGCCUGAUGGAGGGGGAUAACUACUGGAAACGGUAGCUAAUACCGCAUAACGUCGCAAGACCAAAGAGGGGGACCUUCGGGCCUCUUGCCAUCAGAUGUGCCCAGAUGGGAUUAGCUAGUAGGUGGGGUAACGGCUCACCUAGGCGACGAUCCCUAGCUGGUCUGAGAGGAUGACCAGCCACACUGGAACUGAGACACGGUCCAGACUCCUACGGGAGGCAGCAGUGGGGAAUAUUGCACAAUGGGCGCAAGCCUGAUGCAGCCAUGCCGCGUGUAUGAAGAAGGCCUUCGGGUUGUAAAGUACUUUCAGCGGGGAGGAAGGUGUUGUGGUUAAUAACCACAGCAAUUGACGUACC